This 463-nucleotide ribosomal RNA is filed under the name uncultured bacterium. RNAcentral describes it as "bacterial SSU rRNA". It matches the Rfam family "Bacterial small subunit ribosomal RNA", at positions 28 to 507 of the family's 1533-position model. The record is from RNAcentral.
GACGAACGCUGGCGGCGUGCCUAACACAUGCAAGUCGAACGGGGUCAGCCCUUCGGGACUGACUUAGUGGCGAACGGGUGAGUAACGCGUGAGGAACCUGCCUCUCAGUGGGGGACAACAGUUGGAAACGACUGCUAAUACCGCAUAAGCCCACAGAGCCGCAUGGCUCAGGGGGAAAAGGAGCAAUCUGCUUCAGGAUGGAUUCGCGUCCAAUUAGCUAGAUGGUGAGGUAACGGCCCACCAUGGCGACGAUUGGUAGCCGGACUGAGAGGUUGAACGGCCACAUUGGGACUGAGACACGGCCCAGACUCCUACGGGAGGCAGCAGUGGGGAAUAUUGCACAAUGGGGGGAACCCUGAUGCAGCGACGCCGCGUGGAGGAAGAAGGUCUUCGGAUUGUAAACUCCUGUCUUCGGGGGACGAUAAUGACGGUACCCGAGGAGGAAGCCACGGCUAACUACGUG